Molecule: long non-coding RNA, 1607 nt
Organism: Olea europaea var. sylvestris
Lineage: Eukaryota; Viridiplantae; Streptophyta; Magnoliopsida; Lamiales; Oleaceae
Exons: 2
Source: RefSeq, a predicted model, not a curated record
AAGCCGAUCCUAAUUGCCAGUUGAGCAUGUCCUGCAUCACAGCAUUAAAAAUAGAGAGUUCUGAUAAUGUAUAUUAUGAUCUUAUGGUAAUUUUCUUUCUUCAACAAGCAAAUGUGCAUCAGGUAAGAUAUUUUGAACUUGUUUUGCGGUAUUCUAAUCUUAUAGAGCCUAUUGAACAAAGAAUGCAAAAUGUUGAAGAAUAUAUUAAGGUAUUUGUUCCACAUAUGAUGAUGCUUUAGUCUUGCAUACUCUAGGUGAUUGAUCUUGAAUCUUAAAAGAAAGAUCUUCCUCUCUGGUAAUGUCGUACUAAGGUUUGUGUAUUGUAUGAUGUAACAUAGUUGAGAAAGUAGGUUUGGUUGUUUGCAUUCUAUUUUAUUCACUUCAUGUUUGAUGACUACUUAUCCCGUUAAGAUCGAAGAGUGGCAAUAGGAUGAAACUUUUGAAGCUUUGUGUUUAUUGAAGGCACUCAGCUUAUAGAUGCUUUAAUGUUAGUGGAUUCUAACAGGGACCAUCAACACCCCUAUCUCACAUUAUUUUCGUCUUUCUUUUCUAUGUGAACAAAAUUUUUGCUCGUGAAUUGUUGCGAAGAUAACACUUGCAUUCUUUUCCUGCAAAUUAUCUUCAGUCUGUAAAGCCGGAGUUGGUUGUGCAAGUAGAACCCAUCGUUGAUCCCUAUGGUCCAUCAAUAAUUGAUGAGAAUUUGGAGGCUAUCGUCGUCAGCAAAGACAUUGCCUGGAGGAUUGUCAGUCAAUAAAAGGAGGGCAGAGAGAGGUCUCCCGCAACUAAAGGUUUAGCUAUACAGACCACAUGAAUUACUUGUUAUGAUAGUAGAAGGGAAAACUGAAGAAUUAGUCCCCCAACCUAUUGCUUGAGUAGCAAGUUGGUCCUUAACUCAAGUUCAAACAAUAAGAUCAUCAAAAACUUUGUUUAACUCAUCAUGUGGCACUCACACCUCCAACUUGAUGAAAUUAGAUUUUGUUUUCCAACUUGGCCUGGUGCCUAUUAAUUUGAAGUUGGGCACGUCCAUGAGGUCAUGUGAUAUGAUUUAACAAGGAUUUGGAAGGUUUUCGUCGUUGAGGAUUGAUUAUGAAACUAAAAUGGAAGGUUGAUGACCAACUUGCUAUUCGGGCAAUAAGUUGGCUACAAAUGUUGCAAUUUUUCCUAGUAAAAAUGUCACCCCAUGGAACGCAGAUCAAUGUUGUAGAUUUAGUCCCCGAGGAUUCUAGUGGAGAGAAAAUGAGUUCGACAUCAUUGAGGAGACUUGAAGCGGAGAAGCUGAGCAAGGUUCAGCUGGAAGGUCAGGUUUAAUUUUGAUUGGCGGAACUGUACAUUGAAAUUUACUUUUCUUAGAUGUGCAGAGGAAAUCAGUAAUUUGACAUGAUUGAUUUUUACCCCUCCUUGUAUCAUUAACGACAUCGUCUUCUAAGUCUUGGUGGAUAUAGGCUUUUUAUCCUUGUCAUAUGUUGUAUGCCAUUGUUUUCUCAAACAAGUAAAUUGCAUACAUAUAAUGUUUAAAAAAUAUAAGCUUGGUUAUUCGAGUUUUCUCUCUCUUUCAUUGUGUUCAUGGAUUGAUAUUAUAUUAGUAAGAUUACUCGAUUCAUUGUCAA